CUACAAACCCGAACUAUCGUGCUGUGGCAAACAGUAAGGAAAGUCUGGACAACACAGAGCAAUUCACCAGUGAAUAGCUGGUUAUGUUUUAAACAUAAAGAAAGUGCCACAGAAAAUAACUACCUGCUUUUGCAGGCAAAGGUGAAAAUGUAAGGUAAGAGCUUACAAUAAGGUGUAGUAAUAUACUUUAUGGGUAAACCUUGAAUGUUGCAAUGCCACGUAUAGAAACGUUUGAGAACUGCUCGUUCAAGUUUCAGGGUAGGCAGCAAAUGAUUGUAACAGUAAUGUUGCAACAAGAUAAAUGGUAGUAAAAAAACAGAAUCCGGCUUACGAGGUUUGUAGUUAC
Molecule: RNase P RNA, 346 nt
Filed under: Chitinophagaceae bacterium
Lineage: Bacteria; Pseudomonadati; Bacteroidota; Chitinophagia; Chitinophagales; Chitinophagaceae
Description: RNase P RNA component class A
Rfam family: Bacterial RNase P class A
About the family: Ribonuclease P (RNase P) is a ubiquitous endoribonuclease, found in archaea, bacteria and eukarya as well as chloroplasts and mitochondria. Its best characterised activity is the generation of mature 5'-ends of tRNAs by cleaving the 5'-leader elements of precursor-tRNAs. Cellular RNase Ps are ribonucleoproteins.
Source: RNAcentral